UACGUAGGGUGCGAGCGUUAUCCGGAAUUACUGGGCGUAAAGAGCUCGUAGGUGGUUUGUCGCGUUGUCCGUGAAAACUCACAACUCAAUUGUGGGCGUGCGGGCGAUACGGGCAGACUGGAGUACUGCAGGGGAGACUGGAAUUCCUGGUGUAGCGGUGGAAUGCGCAGAUAUCAGGAGGAACACCGGUGGCGAAGGCGGGUCUCUGGGCAGUAACUGACGCUGAGGAGCGAAAGCGUGGGGAGCGAACAGG
This 253-nucleotide ribosomal RNA is filed under the name uncultured bacterium. RNAcentral's name for it is "partial 16S ribosomal RNA". It matches the Rfam family "Bacterial small subunit ribosomal RNA", at positions 524 to 776 of the family's 1533-position model. The record is from RNAcentral.